AGACAUAAAUGAGAGAGAAAAAAGAAAUAAUCAAAUGGGUAAAGAAGGAAAAAAAGAGAAAUGAAAGAGAAGAGAAAAAAAAGUUGAAAAAGAGAAGAGAACAAAAAAUGUUUAAGAAGAAAAGUGAGUAACAUGGUGAGUUUGCUCUCGAAGAUCAGGAGAGAAUUUGAGAAAAAGAAUAACAAAUUAUGAGUAACAUAGAGAAGAUGAAGAAAAAGGUUAAAUAUCAAAUGUUAGAUGAUCAACAAAUUGACAACGAAAAAACUGAGGAAACGGAAACAAUUAAUAAAUCGUUUAAUCACAAUUAAUGAAUAACAAGAAAGAGAGACAAUCAAGAGAAACCAAUUUCCCUCCAUAACCUUUUGUCUCCAAAAUGAAUGUGAAUUUAGAUUCUUACCUUGUGAACAAUUACCGAAGACGACGAAAAAUUAAUUAAAAAACAACACAAAAUUAAACACAAUUAGUUGAUUGUUUGACUCAUCUCAUCACCAACGAUGAACCAACCAAAGUGAUUGGAUUUUGUUUCCAUUAUGUGGCUCACUCUACAUUCGUUACAACAAUUAACUUGAAUUCCAAUUAAUUGAUUUCUAUUCACUAAUUGUUGUUACUUUAUACAUUCUCCAUCGUAAUUUAAUCACCCUGACAAGAGAAAGAAACAUUUCCUCCUUUUCUCUUAUUCCUAACAAUUAACAUAUUCUUCCCAUUGAUUAACCUUCAGGCGAAUUGAAUGGAAGAAAAAAAAUAUAUUCAAAUGAACGAUUGGUUAAUUAGUUAAUGUUCGUUCAACAAUUAGUCUGAAUAUAUUUUCUUUCCACUCAAACAAUCAAUUCUAAACUAUUUUCCAUUCAAUGAUUACUUUUAAUUGUGACAAUUAAAAGUAAUCAUUCUAAACCGAUAGAUGGAGUCACUUGUUAUGUGUCAUUUUCUUUUUCUAUUUUUUUUUGUCUUUUCAAAUUGUUAAUUGUUUUCGUUUUGUUUGAUUUAAUUUGAUGAGUCUCUCUUUUUGAUUAAAUUUAAUCACGUAAAUUGUUUAAUGAGGUUUUCAUCUGUCUUUUAGAUACUUGAGUCAUCCAUGACCUUGAGUAUUCUCUUCUUUGUUUAAGGUUUGAUGGACAUUGAUGGUUCAUUGGUUUCCUCUAAUAACCAAAAUCUACAUAAAAACACAUCGGGUUGACAGAAACUAAUAUAAUAUAUUUUUCCCUCUCUCUCUUUUAUAUUAAUAGUAAUUAAUUGAAAGACAUCGAUAGUUAACGAAGCAAGGAGUUAAUUGGUUUUUAUCUACAAUCCAAUCAAUUAUAAUCUGUCCGUGAUCGUGGUAAAAGAUGAUGUCCCCUUUUUGUAUGGAAAUUUGGAAAAGCCUAACGAAGGAACAAAACAAAAUGGCUCUCCCUUUAUUCCGGUGCACAUGAUGUAAUGACUGAAGCAGUUUUAAAGUGAACCAUAGCAAAGGACAAAGGAGAGAGAAAAAAAAAAAAGGCCUGAUGAUGAUGAUGCUAUUUUAUCAUCGUCAAAUGUUACCAGCGAAGCAUAUCUUCCGAAAAAGAAGAGAGAGAGAGAGAGAGAGAGAGAGAGAGAGAGAAAAAGAAGGAGAACAAGUACUCACAGUGAAUAAUAUAUAAAGUGGAAUAUAAAAACACGACAAAAGCCAAGGAAAAAGAAACAACUACAUCACCCAAUCAGAAAAAAAAAUUGUUCUACAACAAGUAUACAUAAGAAUUCUAAUUAGCGGCCAAACCUUGGAUAGGAAAGAUGAAGAUCAUGUUUGGUUGUGUUGGUGUUUUUUUCUUGUUCCCUUGAACAAGUGAAAAAACGGAUUUGACGGUCCAGAGAUUAGGUCAACAGCCAAACUAUUAUCAUAUAUUCACUGGACAGUGUCCACCAAGAAGCGAAACAACAACAACAACAACAGUGAAAACUUACUUUUCUACUGGUCAAUCACCAAGAAAGUAGCCUCAAGAUGAAGGCUAAUAAGCAACAAUCAAGUUGAUAAACUUAUGGGAAAUUUGUUGUUCUUUGGCCAAAUAUUACCUGUUAAUUAUUUUUUGAGAUUCUCAUAAAAACGUUGAUAGAUUAACAGGUGGACAUUUAUGGACAGAAGUUGUCGCACGAGGAGGAUAUUGAUCAUGGACCAGUUAACUCUCAAUCAAAGUAACAUAUCAAUUUAAAAAUGACACAAUAGAUGGUCAAGAUUAUAAUCGAAUGGUCAAGGAAAGAAAGGGAAAAGAUUUGAAGAAAAUUUUCCAUCCAGUUAUUGAUGAAAAACGAGAGAGAAACAUCUGUAGUCGAAUAAUAAUAACAGGAGUUGAACGGCAAGGGGAAUAUGGUCAAAGUGGAUGGAUCAGUUGUGGUCAGUUGUUGUUGUCAUUAUUAAAAGGCCCAUAAGGUCAGUAUUUGUGGGUCAAAGGCCAAGGAAAGACCAGCUGAAUGAAAGAAGGAAAGAGAGAGAGAGAAAGAGAGUAGGAGGUUCGAAUUGAAGAUAAGGUUGAUUUCGAAACGAAAACGAAGAAAAACAUUCGGUUUAAUAUUAGGUUUCUUUUCUCCUUCUCUUCUCUUUGUCUCUUUAUUUUCUUUUGGAAUGCAAACCUCUUUUUUCUCGUAGGAAAAUAGUUAACUAGACAUCGAGUGAGAGACAGCAAAAGAAAAGGAGAUGAUGAAAGAAGCGAAAGAAAAGUCCAUAGACUUUUUCUUUCCUUUCACUUGGCUCUCUCUCUCUCUCUUUUCUCAUCUUGAAAAAUGCUCAGUAGCUCUUGUUUACUAGUCUCUUUCUCUAUAAAAGUUUACUACUAGAAAUUCACUUUACGCUUCUCAUUGAUACAAAAGCAGAGAGAAAGAGAAGAAAGAAAAACUUUGCUGGUUACCAUGAGUGUAGAGUAUUAUUUAUUUCUAUAUAAAAGAUUAUGAAUGAAAAAUAGUCACAACUAGAGUAACAAACGAUUUGACAAGAUGAAGAGAAAAUCAAGGAAUCUUUAAAGAAGAUGAAAGAUUAUCAAAGGAAAGAAAAGAGAGAAAAAAGAGAGAGAAAGAGAAAAUAUGAAGAUGACAAGAAAUGGUGAUCGUAAGGGGCGAUCACCCUUCUUAUCAUGAACAGGUGAUCUAAAGAAACGAAGUACACUCAAAAUGGAUUCACACACAAAUAGAAAGCGAAAUAGAGAGUGAGUGAGACGAUUGUAUUGACAACGGAAGAGGCACACUCACAGUGGAAACAAGAGAGAAAAGUAAGUAAAAAGAAAGAGUCUCGAAAUUGAUGAUAAAAGAAAAAUUGAGCGAAAGAGAGAGACCAAAAUAAGAGAGCAAAUGUCGGAGUUUAAAGCUUCAAUUUGUGUGUCCAUCGGUAAAUUGUUACCUGUAUACAUUAAGAGAGUGAGAGAGGGAGGGAGAGGGAGAGGGAGAGAUGUGAUGAAAUUGAAGGUAACUGUGGUAUUAGUAAGAAAUAAGGGCAAUGUGAAUGACUAAGGUGGAUCUCUCCUUGCAGAUGGUGUAGGAAGUCCGUUUCCGCUUUCACACUCUCUUUCUCUCUUUUUCUCCCUCUAUCAUCAUUUCCUUUUAAUGCCUCCCUUUACUAUCGAGAAAAAUAAGUGAGAGAAAAUGAAGAAAAAUGUGAAUGAAACUUGUAGUUUUCAUUCUUGAAACCUUAUUACAAUCAUAUCUCUCUCUCUUUCUCAUCAUCAAAACAACAACAUCAUCAUCAUCAUCUUCUCAAUGAAACAUUGUAUUAAAAACAUUAACUACAAUUUCGUUUCCAAGGGUCAACAGUAAAUAGUUACGUCGGUGGCCUCGACUCUCAUCUUACCAUCAAUAUUAUAUAUUAACCAUGAACAUCUACAACUUAUAUUGACCUUUAUCUUGCUCUUCACUUUUCCACCACCAUCAUCAUCAUCCAAACAUCUUCCUCAUCUUCCUCCCCAUCUCAUCCACCUCCACCUCCUCCAUCUCCUCCCUCUUCCACCACCAUAACUAUUUAGCCAAACAGAUAAAGAUGCGAGAUGUUCAAUUAGCCGGAACAAUAUCUUUGUUUAUGGAAAACAAUCAACAUCCAAUUCAAUUGAUAAUCAACUAAAUCAAAACUUUAUUAUUACUCUUAUAAUCCUAAUAAUACAUUUUUCUCAACAAUUAACUUUUCAUGUUUUACUUCCGAUUAUUAUUAACUUAAUCCGAAUCCAAUCUGGUGAAUAUACAAGUUUUUUCAUUCCUCUUGGAUGAUUCUGUCUCUCUCUCUCUCACUUACUCGCUAUUCUGUUAUCAUCUAUUAGUAUCAUCAUCGUUGAUGACAAAUUGUGAUUAAAUUUAUCGUCAUUGUCGUUAUCAUUUUCUUGUUUAUUGUUGACUAAACAUCCAGAGGAAACUAAAUGGUGAAUCGAGACAAUCAGAGUAAUUCAAUAUUUUCCCUUUUCAUUUGGUCACCAUUGGUCAUUUAAUAAGGUUUCUGGUUCUAAUCUGUCAGUUAAUGGUCAGUUGCCUAAUUACAAUUAGUUUUACAAUCAAUCAAUUAUCGAGGAAACAACAAAUAUUAUCAAGAUAAACAAUCAAUUGCUGCUGAAAUUGAUUAUUUAUGAUAUUGAGCUGUUAUUAAUAUCAUUCAAGUGGAUUGUAAUAUUUAAUUGUUAUCAAUUGUAUCUUUUAAAUCAGUAAUCUUGAUUAAGAGAGAAUCUAAAUUGAUAGCAAUCAAAUAAUAAAUACUUUUGAUAUUAUGCUAAAAAAAAGAGGUUACAAUUAAAUCAAAUUAACUUAUUUACUGGUCGAUGAUAAGUUUUAUUGAUCUAAUCAGUAACUGUCUCUAUUUACAUAAAUAAUU
Panonychus citri (citrus red mite) is the source of this 4792-nucleotide long non-coding RNA. RefSeq lists it as uncharacterized. The record is from RefSeq and is a predicted model, not a curated record. The transcript has 8 exons. NCBI's taxonomy places the organism in Eukaryota, Metazoa, Arthropoda, Arachnida, Trombidiformes, Tetranychidae.